RNAcentral lists this ribosomal RNA (77 nucleotides) under Puccinia cymbopogonis. Its description in RNAcentral is "partial 5.8S ribosomal RNA". It matches the Rfam family "5.8S ribosomal RNA", at positions 79 to 154 of the family's 154-position model. From Rfam's summary of the family: 5.8S ribosomal RNA (5.8S rRNA) is a component of the large subunit of the eukaryotic ribosome. It is transcribed by RNA polymerase I as part of the 45S precursor that also contains 18S and 28S rRNA. Lineage: Eukaryota; Fungi; Basidiomycota; Pucciniomycetes; Pucciniales; Pucciniaceae. The record is from RNAcentral.
AUUCAGUGAAUCAUCGAAUCUUUGAACGCAUCUUGCGCCUUUUGGUAUUCCAAACGGCACACCUGUUUGAGUGUCAU